UUUUUUUCUUUUCUUUUUGCAGCUAAUGCAAUAUUCUACAAGGUGCCUUUUGAAGAAGUUCCAGAACUUGUAGCUGGUCGCCGGGUGUUUAUACAUAAAGGGCAUGCCUAUGUUGCAAUGAAUCAGGUGGUUUCUCUUGUUGUCACACAAUUUUGAAGUUAUCUAUCAAAGGCACUCGUUUUAACAAACA
Long non-coding RNA from Hibiscus syriacus, 190 nucleotides. RefSeq lists it as uncharacterized. The record is from RefSeq and is a predicted model, not a curated record. The transcript is spliced from 3 exons. NCBI's taxonomy places the organism in Eukaryota, Viridiplantae, Streptophyta, Magnoliopsida, Malvales, Malvaceae.